This 874-nucleotide ribosomal RNA is filed under the name uncultured Prochlorococcus sp. Its description in RNAcentral is "bacterial SSU rRNA". It matches the Rfam family "Bacterial small subunit ribosomal RNA", at positions 8 to 925 of the family's 1533-position model. Lineage: Bacteria; Bacillati; Cyanobacteriota; Cyanophyceae; Synechococcales; Prochlorococcaceae. The record is from RNAcentral.
AGAGUUUGAUCCUGGCUCAGGAUGAACGCUGGCGGCGUGCUUAACACAUGCAAGUCGAACGAACCUUCGGGUUAGUGGCGGACGGGUGAGUAACGCGUGAGAAUCUGCCCUCAGGAGGGGGAUAACGGUUGGAAACGACCGCUAAUACCCCAUAUGCCUACUGGUGAAAUGAAUUUCGCCUGAGGAUGAGCUCGCGUCUGAUUAGCUAGUUGGUGAGGUAAUGGCUCACCAAGGCUUCGAUCAGUAGCUGGUCUGAGAGGAUGAUCAGCCACACUGGGACUGAGACACGGCCCAGACUCCUACGGGAGGCAGCAGUGGGGAAUUUUCCGCAAUGGGCGAAAGCCUGACGGAGCAACGCCGCGUGAGGGACGAAGGCCUCUGGGCUGUAAACCUCUUUUCUCAAGGAAGAAGAUAUGACGGUACUUGAGGAAUAAGCCACGGCUAAUUCCGUGCCAGCAGCCGCGGUAAUACGGGAGUGGCAAGCGUUAUCCGGAGUUAUUGGGCGUAAAGCGUCCGCAGGCGGCUUUUCAAGUCUGCUGUUAAAGCGUGGAGCUUAACUCCAUCAUGGCAGUGGAAACUGAAAGGCUUGAGUAUGGUAGGGGCAGAGGGAAUUCCCGGUGUAGCGGUGAAAUGCGUAGAUAUCGGGAAGAACACCAGUGGCGAAGGCGCUCUGCUGGGCCAUUACUGACGCUCAUGGACGAAAGCCAGGGGAGCGAAAGGGAUUAGAUACCCCUGUAGUCCUGGCCGUAAACGAUGAACACUAGGUGUCGGGGGGAAUCGACCCCUUCGGUGUCGUAGCUAACGCGUUAAGUGUUCCGCCUGGGGAGUACGCACGCAAGUGUGAAACUCAAAGGGAAUUGACGGGGGGCCCGCA